Molecule: long non-coding RNA, 707 nt
Organism: Girardinichthys multiradiatus
Lineage: Eukaryota; Metazoa; Chordata; Actinopteri; Cyprinodontiformes; Goodeidae
Exons: 3
Source: RefSeq, a predicted model, not a curated record
UCUUAUUCUGCCUGGUGGAUCCAGACAGAGUGGCCUUUUACAGCGCUCCAAUAAAGAAUGCUGGCCUCCUCCAGCUAUUCAUUAUCUUAAGUGUCUCUGCAGCAGACAGUGAGCAGGGAGCAUUCAGAUGCACAAGGGGAAGGACUGCUGAAAGAAGCUUUUCAAAAGGGAAAAUCUCAGUGGACACUGUUAAUUAAGGAGAGGAUGUGAUGGGUCUGACUGAUGCGGCUGACAUGCUCGUCCUGUCAGCUUGUUGUUCAACAAUGUUCGACUGGCUGUUCUAAAAAGGAUCCAGCCCAUGCUAGUGCUGGAGUUCCUUACAGUUUCCUCGCUCCCCAGAUAGGAGAAAGAAUGUCCUCCUGAGUCCAUCAUUGUUACUCUCCUCGCUGCUCCUCAGAUCCUGCUCCUGGAAGAUUGUUGCUUCCAUCACUUGGCCACUGACGUCACUCUCCCCUGCCCGUUUACCCUCCAACGCCAUCUGCUCCACUGCACGCCUCCUCCUGCAGACGAGGAAACAGAGACUGUGGAUCUUCAAACCACCAAACACCAACACCAGGAUGUCCUCAUACAAAAUCAACUUGUCCAGUCAGAGCCACACUGGAAACUCAGAAGACAAACAAUUCCUCAAAUGAUUUUAAAUAAAUCUGUCAAACUGUUAUCCUGUGUCCAUGAUUGUCACCUGCAACAGAAUCAUUAUUAUAAUAAAC